Molecule: ribosomal RNA, 412 nt
Filed under: Escherichia coli
Lineage: Bacteria; Pseudomonadati; Pseudomonadota; Gammaproteobacteria; Enterobacterales; Enterobacteriaceae
Description: partial 23S ribosomal RNA
Rfam family: Bacterial large subunit ribosomal RNA
Source: RNAcentral
UGGCACCUCGAUGUCGGCUCAUCACAUCCUGGGGCUGAAGUAGGUCCCAAGGGUAUGGCUGUUCGCCAUUUAAAGUGGUACGCGAGCUGGGUUUAGAACGUCGUGAGACAGUUCGGUCCCUAUCUGCCGUGGGCGCUGGAGAAUUGAGGGGGGCUGCUCCUAGUACGAGAGGACCGGAGUGGACGCAUCACUGGUGUUCGGGUUGUCAUGCCAAUGGCACUGCCCGGUAGCUAAAUGCGGAAGAGAUAAGUGCUGAAAGCAUCUAAGCACGAAACUUGCCCCGAGAUGAGUUCUCCCUGACUCCUUGAGAGUCCUGAAGGAACGUUGAAGACGACGACGUUGAUAGGCCGGGUGUGUAAGCGCAGCGAUGCGUUGAGCUAACCGGUACUAAUGAACCGUGAGGCUUAACCUU